RNAcentral lists this ribosomal RNA (265 nucleotides) under uncultured prokaryote. Its description in RNAcentral is "partial 16S ribosomal RNA". It matches the Rfam family "Bacterial small subunit ribosomal RNA", at positions 524 to 788 of the family's 1533-position model. The record is from RNAcentral.
UACGUAGGUGGCGAGCGUUGUCCGGAUUUACUGGGCGUAAAGGGAGCGUAGGCGGACUUCUAAGUGAGAUGUGAAAUACCCGGGCUCAACUUGGGUGCUGCAUUUCAAACUGGAAGUCUAGAGUGCAGGAGAGGAGAAUGGAAUUCCUAGUGUAGCGGUGAAAUGCGUAGAGAUUAGGAAGAACACCAGUGACGAAGGCGGCUUCCUGGUCUGUAACUGACACUGAGGCGCGAAAGCGUGGGGAGCAAACAGGAUUAGAUACCCU